AUAGUCGGAUUUGCAUCAAUCCACAUGUGUUGGAGUGGAUUGGAGUGAAACUUGAACUAAAUUUCACCCCAAUCCACUCUAACAUAACAUAUAUGGAUUAAGGUGAAUCUGACG
Sorghum bicolor (sorghum) is the source of this 114-nucleotide microRNA precursor. It matches the Rfam family "MIR5565 microRNA precursor family". NCBI's taxonomy places the organism in Eukaryota, Viridiplantae, Streptophyta, Magnoliopsida, Poales, Poaceae. The record is from Rfam.